Cyprinodon tularosa is the source of this 2112-nucleotide long non-coding RNA. RefSeq lists it as uncharacterized. The transcript has 2 exons. The record is from RefSeq and is a predicted model, not a curated record. NCBI's taxonomy places the organism in Eukaryota, Metazoa, Chordata, Actinopteri, Cyprinodontiformes, Cyprinodontidae.
GUUUCCGCCCGUGACCUGGAAGCAAGACAACAGAGCCACCGACGGAAAAAGCUCCACAGCCUGCGGCCGAAACAACUGAUAAGGAUGGAUUAACCUACAAGGGGCACAGAGACUAACUUUGCUCCUAAACUUCAGAAGGAGGGAUGGUUUGCAGCUGCUGAGAUGCGAACAUUAAGGAAAUGACUGGAUGCCCACUGCUUUGGAUGAGAAAAGGCCACCGGCAGUGGUGGGAUGAUGGAAGGUCAUGGGAUCAUCGGACAAGACGGAUGAAAAAAAAGAUAAGUGAACUGACACACCAGAUUUCUUAUUCACAAUGAAAAAUGAUGGGCAACUUAUUUUAAACCGGUUUAUUAAUACAGAUCUAUAAAUAAUAUUUUUGCUUUACGGAGAUCAACAGGUAGAUGUAAUAUCUUUCUGAACAACGCGGCAGUAGUUUGGGGAUUAUUAGUAUUAUUGCUUUAUUUAUUUAUUUUCUUAAAGAGAAAUAUCAGAAGCGAUGGCAACAACAUAGAAUAUAAAUUAUAGGAGUAACUUUACCGACAGAUUUUAAAUGGUCUGCUAAAUUUUCUUUAUAUCAUCAGGGGGUGGAGUAUUCUUAAAUAGAGGAAUAAAAAAGAGGAUUUAGAGAUGUUUUACUAUGUGAUAAAUUAGACCGGGUUUUUUGAUAAAUAGUUUGGUCAGUUAUUAAUUAGCAGAAUGUUAAAGGGACAACAAGUUGAAACUUUAACUUUUGGGAAUGGUAAAGUUGCAUCAACAGAAUGCAAUUUAGGGGAAAUUAUAACAUUUCAGGAGCAAAUGUUUAAAGCAAAUGAUGGUUUCUUUCAAUAUAAGCAAUAACGAUGAAGACUUAUAGUGUUAAUGAGCUUAUGGCGAUUCAAUAUCAGGCCCAGGGACUAAAACUUCACCAUUUAUUUUUUUUUAUUUUUAUUUUAUUUUAUUUGUUUUGAUUAGUUUUAUUUGGGGUUUUUUGUUUGGUUUUUUACUGCGAGCAGAGUUAUAAAUAGCAUUUGAGGGGCUAUAUACAAUUUGGGGGAUGGGUAACCAUACUUUUAAUGCAUGAAGCAAUAAGAACACCUGACUUUACUUCACUAGAGCUGCAAUUAAUACUUUAGAGGGGAUGCACACUUUAGUGUUUAGUUUAUUUGAGAUAACACAUAUGAGAAGAGAUUAUGUUUCCUGCACAUUUUUUGGAUCUGGUCAGGGGUCCAGAUAUGACAACUAUUGACUGGUUCUGGGGAUGUUGGAACAGAUUUUCUUUUUUCUUGUUUUUAUUUUGUUCUUUGUUCUUUGUUUUUGUUUUGUUUUUUUUUCUCAUCGGAGCACUGCUUUUUGGAGAAUAUUUUAAAUGGACUAUAGCUGGACACUUUGCAUAGAGGGGGUGCAGUCGAAUUCAACACCUUCAGGAACUGUGUACUGCUGAGUUUUGGGAACGCAGCAGCGAGUCAGAGUACAAUCCUGUGCUCUGAGCAGAUGAACAUUUCAAUAUGACAUUUCCUCUUGAAGGGAGGAACACCUUUGACGCACUGUUUCCUUCUACCUCUAUGUGAUACUGCUGAUGACACAGGUAAAGACUUAUCCUUCAGGGGGUGUGGGGACACAUGGCCCCAAGACUCUUAUGGUUCAAAGCUGCUGUGGUAGCAGAGGGAAACCUGAUGGACUUGUCCGAACAUCGAACUUUUUUUGCAUGUUGGAGAGGAUCACUGCUCCAAGAAACACUUUUUCUUCCAAACCAGUAGCGGGAUGGCUCCUGACCAGUUUCCCACAUAUAGAUCCACUCACAUAGACACACACACAUACUGUCACGUAACAACACGCCCACACACGGUUAACGACUGGAAGAACACACAAGGGUCCACAUGGGAAUGAGGUUUUCUCUCAUGCACUAACAUUCACGGAUACAAGGUCUGGUGGGGGAGUUUUUAAUAGGGGGAAUCUGCGCCAAGCUGGGUUUUUUCCUUAGAGAUUAAAGAACUUCUAAUAAUUUUCUGGGGAGGGUGUAGCAGUAAACUAAAAUGCAGUUACAAGUUUAGACGAGACUAAAACUUAAUAUGCUAUGAUGUAGAAAUGGUUUUAAAAUUCAUUUAUUUAAUCCAUGAAUUGAGUGUUACAAUG